UGCAAGUCGAGCGGUAGAGAGAAGCUUGCUUCUCUUGAGAGCGGCGGACGGGUGAGUAAAGCCUAGGAAUCUGCCUGGUAGUGGGGGAUAACGUUCGGAAACGGACGCUAAUACCGCAUACGUCCUACGGGAGAAAGCAGGGGACCUUCGGGCCUUGCGCUAUCAGAUGAGCCUAGGUCGGAUUAGCUAGUUGGUGAGGUAAUGGCUCACCAAGGCGACGAUCCGUAACUGGUCUGAGAGGAUGAUCAGUCACACUGGAACUGAGACACGGUCCAGACUCCUACGGGAGGCAGCAGUGGGGAAUAUUGGACAAUGGGCGAAAGCCUGAUCCAGCCAUGCCGCGUGUGUGAAGAAGGUCUUCGGAUUGUAAAGCACUUUAAGUUGGGAGGAAGGGCAGUUACCUAAUACGUGAUUGUUUUGACGUUACCGACAGAAUAAGCACCGGCUAACUCUGUGCCAGCAGCCGCGGUAAUACAGAGGGUGCAAGCGUUAAUCGGAAUUACUGGGCGUAAAGCGCGCGUAGGUGGUUUGUUAAGUUGGAUGUGAAAUCCCCGGGCUCAACCUGGGAACUGCAUUCAAAACUGACUGACUAGAGUGUGGUAGAGGGUGGUGGAAUUUCCUGUGUAGCGGUGAAAUGCGUAGAUAUAGGAAGGAACACCAGUGGCGAAGGCGACCACCUGGACCAACACUGACACUGAGGUGCGAAAGCGUGGGGAGCAAACAGGAUUAGAUACCCUGGUAGUCCACGCCGUAAACGAUGUCAACUAGCCGUUGGGAGCCUUGAGCUCUUAGUGGCGCAGCUAACGCAUUAAGUUGACCGCCUGGGGAGUACGGCCGCAAGGUUAAAACUCAAAUGAAUUG
RNAcentral lists this ribosomal RNA (861 nucleotides) under Pseudomonas sp. FBF66. Its description in RNAcentral is "bacterial SSU rRNA". It matches the Rfam family "Bacterial small subunit ribosomal RNA", at positions 56 to 912 of the family's 1533-position model. The record is from RNAcentral. Lineage: Bacteria; Pseudomonadati; Pseudomonadota; Gammaproteobacteria; Pseudomonadales; Pseudomonadaceae.